GACGAACGCUGGCGGCGUGCUUAACACAUGCAAGUCGAACGGAAAGGCCCUGCUUGCAGGGUACUCGAUUGGCGAACGGGUGAGUAACGCGUUGGUGAUCUGCCCUGCACUUCGGGAUAAGCCUGGGAAACUGGGUCUAAUACCGGAUAGGAGCCAUUUUUAGUUUGAUUGUUGGAAAGUUUUUUCGGUGUAGGAUGAGCUCGCGGCCUAUCAGCUUGGUGGUGGGGUAAUGGCCUACCAAGGCGGCGACGGGUAGCCGGCCUGAGAGGGUGGACGGCCACAUUGGGACUGAGAUACGGCCCAGACUCCUACGGGAGGCAGCAGUGGGGAAUAUUGCACAAUGGGCGCAAGCCUGAUGCAGCGACGCCGCGUGGGGGAUGACGGCCUUCGGGUUGUAAACGCCUUUCGCUAGGGACGAAGCUUUUUGUGACGGUACCUAGAUAAGAAGCACCGGCUAACUACGUG
This 465-nucleotide ribosomal RNA is filed under the name uncultured bacterium. RNAcentral's name for it is "partial 16S ribosomal RNA". It matches the Rfam family "Bacterial small subunit ribosomal RNA", at positions 28 to 507 of the family's 1533-position model. The record is from RNAcentral.